AACGAACGCUGGCGGCAUGCCUAACACAUGCAAGUCGAACGAGACCUUCGGGUCUAGUGGCGCACGGGUGCGUAACGCGUGGGGACCUGCCCUUAGGUUCGGAAUAACUCCCCGAAAGGGGUGCUAAUACCGGAUAAUGUCUUCGGUCCAAAGAUUUAUCGCCUUUGGAUGGGCCCGCGUUGGAUUAGCUAGUUGGUAGGGUAAAAGCCUACCAAGGCGACGAUCCAUAGCUGGUCUGAGAGGAUGAUCAGCCACACUGGGACUGAGACACGGCCCAGACUCCUACGGGAGGCAGCAGUGGGGAAUAUUGGACAAUGGGCGAAAGCCUGAUCCAGCAAUGCCGCGUGAGAGAUGAAGGCCUUAGGGUUGUAAAGCUCUUUUACCCGGGAUGAUAAUGACAGUACCGGGAGAAUAAGCUCCGGCUAACUCCGUG
This 433-nucleotide ribosomal RNA is filed under the name uncultured bacterium. RNAcentral describes it as "partial 16S ribosomal RNA". It matches the Rfam family "Bacterial small subunit ribosomal RNA", at positions 29 to 507 of the family's 1533-position model. The record is from RNAcentral.